This is a small nucleolar RNA of Mesocricetus auratus (golden hamster), 79 nucleotides long. Its record names the gene SNORD115. It matches the Rfam family "Small nucleolar RNA SNORD115". Rfam says of the family: HBII-52 is a member of the C/D class of snoRNAs, which contain the C (UGAUGA) and D (CUGA) box motifs. HBII-52 is encoded in a tandemly repeated array with another C/D snoRNA, HBII-85, in the Prader-Willi syndrome (PWS) region of chromosome 15. The record is from Ensembl. Lineage: Eukaryota; Metazoa; Chordata; Mammalia; Rodentia; Cricetidae.
AGGUUUAUGAUGACAAACAAAUGUCAUGAAGAGUGCUGAUGACAUAAAAAUGAUGCUCAAUGAGAUUUUGCUGAGGCCC